RNAcentral lists this ribosomal RNA (451 nucleotides) under uncultured bacterium. RNAcentral describes it as "partial 16S ribosomal RNA". It matches the Rfam family "Bacterial small subunit ribosomal RNA", at positions 354 to 796 of the family's 1533-position model. The record is from RNAcentral.
GUGGGGAAUAUUGGACAAUGGGGGGAACCCUGAUCCAGCCAUGCCGCGUGUGUGAAGAAGGCCUUUUGGUUGUAAAGCACUUUAAGCGAGGAGGAGGCUACCGAGAUUAAUACUCUUGGAUAGUGGACGUUACUCGCAGAAUAAGCACCGGCUAACUCUGUGCCAGCAGCCGCGGUAAUACAGAGGGUGCAAGCGUUAAUCGGAUUUACUGGGCGUAAAGCGCGCGUAGGUGGCCAAUUAAGUCAAAUGUGAAAUCCCCGAGCUUAACUUGGGAAUUGCAUUCGAUACUGGUGGGUUAGAGUAUGGGAGAGGAUGGUAGAAUUCCAGGUGUAGCGGUGAAAUGCGUAGAGAUCUGGAGGAAUACCGAUGGCGAAGGCAGCCAUCUGGCCUAAUACUGACACUGAGGUGCGAAAGCAUGGGGAGCAAACAGGAUUAGAUACCCCGGUAGUCC